This 541-nucleotide ribosomal RNA is filed under the name uncultured bacterium. RNAcentral's name for it is "bacterial SSU rRNA". It matches the Rfam family "Bacterial small subunit ribosomal RNA", at positions 338 to 868 of the family's 1533-position model. The record is from RNAcentral.
CCUACGGGAGGCAGCAGUGGGGAAUAUUGGACAAUGGGCGCAAGCCUGAUCCAGCCAUGCCGCGUGUGUGAAGAAGGCCUUCGGGUUGUAAAGCACUUUUGUCCGGGAAGAAAUCCCGUCGGUUAAUACCCGGCGGGGCUGACGGUACCGGAAGAAUAAGCACCGGCUAACUUCGUGCCAGCAGCCGCGGUAAUACGAAGGGUGCAAGCGUUACUCGGAAUUACUGGGCGUAAAGCGUGCGUAGGCGGUUCGUUAAGUCUGCCGUGAAAGCCCCGGGCUUCAACCUGGGAAUGGCGGUGGAUACUGGCGGGCUAGAGUACGGUAGAGGGGUGGUGGAAUUCCCGGUGUAGCAGUGAAAUGCGUAGAGAUCGGGAGGAACAUCUGUGGCGAAGGCGGCCACCUGGACCAGUACUGACGCUGAGGCACGAAAGCGUGGGGAGCAAACAGGAUUAGAUACCCUGGUAGUCCACGCCCUAAACGAUGCGAACUGGACGUUGGGCUCAACUAGGAGCUCAGUGUCGAAGCUAACGCGUUAAGUUCG